Molecule: ribosomal RNA, 465 nt
Filed under: Vreelandella stevensii
Lineage: Bacteria; Pseudomonadati; Pseudomonadota; Gammaproteobacteria; Oceanospirillales; Halomonadaceae
Description: partial 16S ribosomal RNA
Rfam family: Bacterial small subunit ribosomal RNA
Source: RNAcentral
CCUACGGGGGGCUGCAGUGGGGAAUAUUGGACAAUGGGGGGAACCCUGAUCCAGCCAUGCCGCGUGUGUGAAGAAGGCCCUCGGGUUGUAAAGCACUUUCAGUGAGGAAGAACGCCUGGUGGUUAAUACCCAUCAGGAAAGACAUCACUCACAGAAGAAGCACCGGCUAACUCCGUGCCAGCAGCCGCGGUAACACGGAGGGUGCGAGCGUUAAUCGGAAUUACUGGGCGUAAAGCGCGCGUAGGUGGCUUGAUAAGCCGGUUGUGAAAGCCCCGGGCUCAACCUGGGAACGGCAUCCGGAACUGUCAAGCUAGAGUGCAGGAGAGGAAGGUAGAAUUCCCGGUGUAGCGGUGAAAUGCGUAGAGAUCGGGAGGAAUACCAGUGGCGAAGGCGGCCUUCUGGACUGACACUGACACUGAGGUGCGAAAGCGUGGGUAGCAAACAGGAUUAGAUACCCUUGUAGUC